This is a non-coding RNA of Misgurnus anguillicaudatus (oriental weatherfish), 2818 nucleotides long. NCBI's taxonomy places the organism in Eukaryota, Metazoa, Chordata, Actinopteri, Cypriniformes, Cobitidae. The record is from RefSeq and is a predicted model, not a curated record.
CAAUGUGAAUGCCCACAUGGAAAAUGCAAGUGCAAGUGUGUAUAGUUGUGGCGAAUUUUCAUCAAGGUCAUGAAAAUCUGGUCCUCAAGGAUGAUUUCUUUGGAUCUACAUCAAACAAAGUACGUAAUGGAAUCCUCAAAAUGAGCAACAUAUUCAUACACAGAACUGAAAGUAUCUCUAUCUGGCAAUCCUGUCUCUAUCCGAAUCACACUUUCACUCAUCUGACGGCUGAAUACCAGUCAUGACAGUUACUCGUUCGCUCUUGGAGUUUGUCUUUGAGAAACUGAAUCUCUGCUAUGGAAUGCUCUAACUCAAUCUCAAGCUGGAUUCUUCGUCCAGAUUGCAGCUCUUCUUUAGUUGUGCUACUAUUUGGUUGUUCCUCAGAAUUGAUAGUGAGGGUUUGCCGGAGAUGGUUCAUCAUCUUUGUCAGCCAUAAAUUGUGUAGCCAUUUCCUCCAUGGGUGGUGGAACAUUUUUAGGCACAUCAGCCCUAUCCUGUCUCAGGGAGUAUGAAUGAUCUUCCAAAAUAUGUCCAGUGGGAACAUCAUUUGUGAAUAAAAACAAAACAGGGAAAUUUUAUCCCCUGCAGGAAAAUGACAGCUGCAGAUGCGAAAAUGGUUACUGGUCUUCCGGUCAGCUCGUCUAAGGAUAAAUUCAAAAUAAGCAAUGUUAGUUUUAUGGAAGUUACACCUUUACAAUUUAAAACUACAAAAAUCACACAAUAAAAUAUUUGUAUUAAAUUAGAAUGGAGUUUUCAGCAUUUACAUUAAUCUUUUUCAUUGAUCCGUCCAUGUUUAUAUAGCACAUUAAAUAUAGUUAACAUUGACUACUAAAAUAAUAAAGAUUAAUAUAAUUUUUACCGAAUGCCUAACUAAUGCGGUUUACAAAUACAAUCAUAUUAUUAUUAAUAGGUAAAGCCAAGUUCACAAAUAUCAGGAUGCAGGACCACCCUAUCUAUAAUUAUAUCCAAACAAGUUACAAUAAAAGUCAAUAAACCAGGUAUUAUUUUGAAUAUUUUAAUUAACGCAUUUCUCGAUGUAACGUUAGCCUUUAAUAAAACUGACAGUCGAAGUAUCAUUAGCCUGUUAAGCAUUGUUUUUGUAUAUAUUUUUUGCUUUGUUUUUAUUUUGUGCAGGACAUUUUUAGAUGUAAAUUAUGUCAUUGUUUAUUUUAAUGUGUUCUUUUCCCUGGUGGCACAAUAUUUUUCUUUUGUGAAUAAUAAAAAAUACAUUUCUUCAUCUAACCCUGUCUUUUGUACACCAAAUUUAUACAUUAUAGACUUGUGGAGGCGCAAUGAUGACUGUUACUGUGAUUUAGCUGUCAUUACUUACUUUACAAAGUCAUUUGGGUUAAAAAUAAAGCCAAAUAUUAUGUUUGUUACACAAUUUAGACUUAAACUUUUUAAAAAAAUGCAAGAAUGCUUUCCUCAAAUUGCAGUCACUCUAAUGUAGCAACAAUAAGGACUAUAACACGAACAAAAAUCAAUGUGAAUUUUAACUUUUUAUUAAAAAACAUAAACAAUUCACACUCAUAGCUUAUCUAGAGCUUCAUCCGUUUCUUAAUAGCCGCUAUAAUGUCCGUGAGAUGCUGGAUAUCUAUGUCUGAUGUCCUGAACAACGAACACAGGCAGGUAAAACAAGUCGAUGUCCUGUCCACAGUCUUUCGCCUUGCAAAACUAAAUAACUUUUUCCUACUGGGCUAUUUUUUCACACCUUGUCAUAAUGAUAAGAUUGCCUCUCAAUUUUCCAAAAAUAUUAAAAGGCAAAGCUACCACACACUUGGGGUCUAUUUGAGUAGUCUAUAGGCUUAAGCGAGAGGCACCAUCUCCCACUGGACAUUUAUCAAGAGGUGUCGCAGUUUCACAACUAACUGAACAACAAACCAUGGUACGAUUUGAUUAGUCUCCCUUGCCAGCUUGGUAAUAUUUUAGUGGGACAUGUUAUGGAGACGAUGUUAAUGUUAACUGUUCAUUGUGUGUAUACCUGGUAAUUAUCACAAAAUGUCCCCACAAGAUAGGAAUACCAGUAAAUUUUUGAUGUUGUGGGGACAUUUUGAGGUCCCCAUGAGGAAACAAGCUUAUAAAUCAAAUGAAUGAUGUUUAUUGAAAUCUGAAGGAGCAGAAAGUUUUCCGUGAUGGUUGGGGUUAGGGGAAAAAAUAUACAGUUUGUACAUUAAAAAAACAUUACGUCUAUGUAAUGUCCUCACAAAACAUGGAAACCAGAAUGUGUGCGCCCGCGUGUGUCAGUGUAACUCCAAAAAUUUGAAAUAAAUUUUCAAUUUAGGUGAAAAUCUUAACAGGAGAUAAGACGAAGACAAGUUGAGACACUGGAGGCAGACAGAAAAAGAGUGAGUGUGUGUUUUAGUUGUGGAGUAUGAUUGGGUUUUUGUGUCUACUUACAUAUCUGAAUUUAUUAUUCAAGAUUAUACUUGAAAGACGGCAGUUAAUUGAAGUGAUGCCAGAGCCACAAGAUGGUGUCGUUAUUCAAAUAAAAUACCCUGAUGGAAACAUUAGGAGAAGGAAAUUCCAUCUCUCUCAGCCUUUUCAGGAUCUGGUUGCAUUUGGGGGGUGUGAGGACAGUGCUACUAUGGUCUUUUCACUUCAGUCAGCUUUAUCAUCUCAUCACCUGCAGAGCACUCUUACAGGCAGUAUUUUGGACAAAGGGAUUGAUGGAGCCUGUACUUUGUACGUUUUGUGAUUCUCAACAGAAGAGGUUGAGGCAGUACUUUCCUCCAGACCGCCACCUCCUCCACCAGCGACCCCAGAGGUCAGCGCCUCCGCCACCGCCGAGGCCGCCGCCACCUCCACCACCGUGGUCGCU